This 68-nucleotide transfer RNA is filed under the name Rediviva intermixta. RNAcentral describes it as "tRNA-His". Lineage: Eukaryota; Metazoa; Arthropoda; Insecta; Hymenoptera; Melittidae. The record is from RNAcentral.
AUAUAAAUAAACAUUUUUUGUAUAAUUUAAAGUUAAAACUUAACACUUUUGAUUCCACAAAUCAAUAU